This 1434-nucleotide ribosomal RNA is filed under the name uncultured organism. RNAcentral describes it as "16S ribosomal RNA". It matches the Rfam family "Bacterial small subunit ribosomal RNA". The record is from RNAcentral.
AGGAUGAACGCUAGCUACAGGCUUAACACAUGCAAGUCGAGGGGCAGCAUGGUCUUAGCUUGCUAAGGCCGAUGGCGACCGGCGCACGGGUGAGUAACACGUAUCCAACCUGCCGUCUACUCUUGGACAGCCUUCUGAAAGGAAGAUUAAUACAAGAUGGCAUCAUGAGUCCGCAUGUUCACAUGAUUAAAGGUAUUCCGGUAGACGAUGGGGAUGCGUUCCAUUAGAUAGUAGGCGGGGUAACGGCCCACCUAGUCUUCGAUGGAUAGGGGUUCUGAGAGGAAGGUCCCCCACAUUGGAACUGAGACACGGUCCAAACUCCUACGGGAGGCAGCAGUGAGGAAUAUUGGUCAAUGGGCGAGAGCCUGAACCAGCCAAGUAGCGUGAAGGAUGACUGCCCUAUGGGUUGUAAACUUCUUUUAUAAAGGAAUAAAGUCGGGUAUGGAUACCCGUUUGCAUGUACUUUAUGAAUAAGGAUCGGCUAACUCCGUGCCAGCAGCCGCGGUAAUACGGAGGAUCCGAGCGUUAUCCGGAUUUAUUGGGUUUAAAGGGAGCGUAGAUGGAUGUUUAAGUCAGUUGUGAAAGUUUGCGGCUCAACCGUAAAAUUGCAGUUGAUACUGGAUAUCUUGAGUGCAGUUGAGGCAGGCGGAAUUCGUGGUGUAGCGGUGAAAUGCUUAGAUAUCACGAAGAACUCCGAUUGCGAAGGCAGCCUGCUAAGCUGCAACUGACAUUGAGGCUCGAAAGUGUGGGUAUCAAACAGGAUUAGAUACCCUGGUAGUCCACACGGUAAACGAUGAAUACUCGCUGUUUGUGAUAUACUGCAAGCGGCCAAGCGAAAGCGUUAAGUAUUCCACCUGGGGAGUACGCCGGCAACGGUGAAACUCAAAGGAAUUGACGGGGGCCCGCACAAGCGGAGGAACAUGUGGUUUAAUUCGAUGAUACGCGAGGAACCUUACCCGGGCUUAAAUUGCAGAUGAAUUACGGUGAAAGCCGUAAGCCGCAAGGCAUCUGUGAAGGUGCUGCAUGGUUGUCGUCAGCUCGUGCCGUGAGGUGUCGGCUUAAGUGCCAUAACGAGCGCAACCCUUGUUGUCAGUUACUAACAGGUUCCGCUGAGGACUCUGACAAGACUGCCAUCGUAAGAUGUGAGGAAGGUGGGGAUGACGUCAAAUCAGCACAGCCCUUACGUCCGGGGCUACACACGUGUUACAAUGGGGGGUACAGAGGGCCGCUACCACGCGAGUGGAUGCCAAUCCCCAAAACCUCUCUCAGUUCGGACUGGAGUCUGCAACCCGACUCCACGAAGCUGGAUUCGCUAGUAAUCGCGCAUCAGCCACGGCGCGGUGAAUACGUUCCCGGGCCUUGUACACACCGCCCGUCAAGCCAUGGGAGCCGGGGGUACCUGAAGUGCGUAACCGCGAGGAGCGCCCUAGGGUA